UCCCGUAACGAGCGCAACCCUUGUCCUUAGUUACCAGCACGGUUAUGGUGGGCACUCUAAGGAGACUGCCGGUGACAAACCGGAGGGAAGGUGGGGAUGACGUCAAGUCAUCAUGGCCCUUACGGCCUGGGCUACACACGUGCUACAAUGGUCGGUACAAAGGGUUGCCAAGCCGCGAGGUGGAGCUAAUCCCAUAAAACCGAUCGUAGUCCGGAUCGCAGUCUGCAACUCGACUGCGUGAAGUCGGAAUCGCUAGUAAUCGUGAAUCAGAAUGUCACGGUGAAUACGUUCCCGGGCCUU
RNAcentral lists this ribosomal RNA (300 nucleotides) under uncultured Pseudomonas sp. Its description in RNAcentral is "bacterial SSU rRNA". It matches the Rfam family "Bacterial small subunit ribosomal RNA", at positions 1085 to 1382 of the family's 1533-position model. The record is from RNAcentral. Lineage: Bacteria; Pseudomonadati; Pseudomonadota; Gammaproteobacteria; Pseudomonadales; Pseudomonadaceae.